GUCGGUAAUCACAAAUAAUGUCAGGUUGAGAUUUUCUGUAAUGCAAAUACGUAAUUUUUCGUACAAGAACUAUAAUGGUCUAAGUACUGAUAUCAACACUAUUAACCCACAAUUCUAUGCAGCUAAUUACAAAUAGGAGCAGUACAAAUAUCAAAAUAAGGAAAUGUGGUAUGACUGCCAAGCAGACAACUAUCUAACCAGGACCAAAUUAAA
This 213-nucleotide long non-coding RNA is filed under the name Mytilus galloprovincialis (Mediterranean mussel). The record is from RNAcentral. Lineage: Eukaryota; Metazoa; Mollusca; Bivalvia; Mytilida; Mytilidae.